Amborella trichopoda is the source of this 72-nucleotide non-coding RNA. NCBI's taxonomy places the organism in Eukaryota, Viridiplantae, Streptophyta, Magnoliopsida, Amborellales, Amborellaceae. The record is from Rfam.
GCGGAAGUAGCUCAAUGGUAGAGUCUUGCCUUGCCAAGGCAAAGGUUGAGGGUUCAAUCCCCUUUUUCCGCU